RNAcentral lists this microRNA precursor (81 nucleotides) under Ochotona princeps (American pika). RNAcentral's name for it is "miRNA (ENSOPRG00000017858.1)". The record is from RNAcentral. Lineage: Eukaryota; Metazoa; Chordata; Mammalia; Lagomorpha; Ochotonidae.
UUGGUGGACUUGAGUUCCUUGUGGCUGUAGGACUGCAGUGCCUGUUCCCUGGCUCAGUUCCUGAAUCUCUCUGCCUCCUCU